Long non-coding RNA from Alexandromys fortis (reed vole), 5717 nucleotides. RefSeq lists it as uncharacterized. NCBI's taxonomy places the organism in Eukaryota, Metazoa, Chordata, Mammalia, Rodentia, Cricetidae. The transcript is spliced from 5 exons. The record is from RefSeq and is a predicted model, not a curated record.
UUCUGAACAAGCCUUACUACAGCGAAAUCCAGUCCCGGUCGGGCAGGCACUGGACACUUGCCCAUCUUUCAGCCUUUAAAUUGAGAGGAGCCACUAAAGAAAGCAUGCAUGGGGUUUCUCAAAACCCCUGUGUCAGAAUCAACCAAGCCGUAACUAAUCAGAGAAAUGGUUUCUCCCUGGAUCCGUGUGAAAUCAGACUUUUCUGUGAUUGGAGCUAUUCGUGCCUGCAGAGCUGUGGUUACAAGCAAGGUAACCCUGGGUGGAUCCAGCUUCCGGGUCCCUGAAGCCUAUGCUAUCUAGAGACCUGUUUUAAGAACCAGAGGACAAAAUUAUCAGUGAUAAAGGCAGGGCCACAAAGGAGGGCCAGCAAGGUGAGAGACUUCAACUGGAAGCUUUGUUAGCUCCUCAGACAAAUCCUCUUUGGAGAAAAUAACAGUAAUUAACUGUGAAAAGUCAUUCGUUUCUUUAACUCUCCUCAGAAAAAAGUUGGGUCUUUUCCCCCUGCAUCCCCACCCCCACCACACUUUACCGAAAAGAAAGUUGAAUUGCAAGGAGUUUAGGGGGCUUGUCUAAUGUUGACCAGUAAGAUGCUCUCCCUAGCUUCCCUAAGCACCAAACAGUGACCCUGCCUGCCCUGGAGAUAAAAUUAGCAAAACACAGUCAACUGACUGGGUUUCUACACCACUGGUGGCUUAAAAGUCAAACCCCUAAGUGGCCUUUGACUUAAGUUGAACUCUGUGGACUCAGACUCCAGGUAGGAGGAAGCUCAGAAACACUCGUGUGUGUGUGUGUGUGUGUGUGUGUGUGUGUGUGUGUGUGUGUGUGAACGUGCCUUAUGUCUGUGUGUCUUUGUGUACCUGUUUCUGAGUGAGUGCGUGUGUUUCUGUUUAUAUGUGUGUAUGUGUAUGUCUAUGUGUCUGUAUGUCUAUAUGUCUGUCUGUCUGUAUGUGUGUGUAUAUUUGUAUGUGUGUAUAUCUGUAUGUCUGUGUAUGUCUGUAUGUGUGUAUGUGUGUAUUCUGUUUGUGUGUAUAUAUCUGUAUGUCUGUAUGUGUAUAUGUGUGUAUGUCUGUAUGUCUGUGUAUCUGCACGUGCACUUCUGUGUCUGUGAGGGCGAUACCUUGCGUUUACCUUUCCUCUGCCAGUGGAAAAUAACAGCUUCUCCCAAGUCCUUGCCAAGUGUGUGAGAACCCAUUUUCUUUCUGAGGUUCUUAGCACAGUCUUUGGUGUAUCUGGUCAGAUACACUAUGACGAUCCCUUGGGCCACAGCCUUGUCUGGAGCUCACCAGACAGGACAGUAAUAACAACACUGUGUGUGUGUUUGGUACUAACUGGGAAACCUGACCCUGUGGCCUUGCAUGAGUCAUUUAACUUCUACAUCUGUAAAGUGGGUUGGUAGAAGAAUCUCCUCGUGGCAAUCUUGUGAAGAAAAUAGCAUUUCUCCUGCCAUUUGGAACUUCUGCUCAAAAAAAUACCCGAUGGAGCAGGUACCAGACAGCAGCCUGUGAGUUCCAAGGCCAGCCGGCAAGAUGGGGAGAGAGAAAAGAGGACCCGACUGAACUGCCUGGGCUCCGGCAUCCACCUGCGCUAGAAAAACACUCUGGACCCCAUCCCUGCAGCUGGAAGCCAAGCUGGAGGCCAACCCUGGGGACUUUUCAUCCUAAUCACUACCAGGUUGAAAAUUAACAAAGGCUAUGAACCAAAAGCCAGCAAAAGUAAAAGGGACUGCACCCAAAGCCAGGCAGCAAGCCAUACACCUGUAAUUCCGCUCUCAGAAGACAGAAAAAUCGUGAGUUCAUGAUUUGAGGCAUGGUUUGCCUCAAAAGCCAAAUAGAGCAACAAAAAAGUGAUCACAUCUCAGAAUGUAUCCUGAAUUCCACCUCUGACCAAGACCCUGUCAGUGAGAGAGCAGCUCCAAGGCAACCCUGCAGCAGGAGACACGAAGAAGAAAGGCCAAGCCCCCGGCUUCCUGUGUCCAAGGUGCUCACAACAGCUGCUUUGUGUUAAAACCACAUCUGUCUGGGCGCAUCUAUUGGUCCAACCUCCAGGAAGCGGGAGCACCUUCUGACAGGUCCUAGAACUCCAAAGACGCUGUCAGAGGCGACAGCUGGCUCUCAGCACAGCCCUGGCUUAGCCAUACAAGCCAUUAAGCACCUUUGCUCAGAAGUACCCGCUAGUGUUGUCUCCAGCGCUCACGUACCAAGCGAACGUACCAAGUUGACAUGUGCCACUACCUCCUUAUUGUUUUGAAGUCUGACCUAAUUGGCUUCACAGGGAGAGAGUCUGGUCCCGCACACCACACACGCAGCUAGUCCUCAUCAUCCAUCAUGUGGACUGUCGCCGAGACUCAGGUGAGAACAGAGACCUGGCUUUCAGCAAACCCUUCCGUGAGGCCCCGAAAGCCUCUUUCCCCUCAGGACCUCCAUGGGCAAUCUGUGUGUGAGUUAAAGGUUCACCUUGCUCACCAUUGCAAGGCCACUGUAGACUUUUCCAAUUACCUGCUUUCUCUUUAUGUUCCUGACAGGCCAACCUGGUUCUUUGUGCCCAUUGUCCUUUGGCUUCUGGGAAAAUAGUUAAACGGUUUGGUGUUCAUCCUGGGGAUGAAGGAAUUAGGGAGUCAACAUUGUUGAAAUUUGGAAAUAUAAAAGGACUUUGAUAUGUCUCUUAAAAAUAUUAACCCUUUGCCUGCCAUGGUGAUACAGGCCUGUAAUUCCAGCUACUUGAGACACUUAUGCGAGAGAGAAACCUGUUCAAGUGCAGCCUGGGAAACUUGGCAAGAUGUUCCCUAAUAAAGAUAAAAUGGAUUGGGGAUGUACAUCCCUGGUAGAGUACUCAAGAUAUGCAGUCUCCUGGAUGGAUGGAUGGAUGGAUGGAUGGAUGGAUGGAUGGAUGGAUCAGUCAGCUGAACAAAAGUCUUUAAGACAAAAUAAUUCUCAUAUUUGUCUUAGCCUUUUCCCUUUGGUAGGGUGGCUGUCAGCCUGACUUUUAAACCACGUUGUCGUCUCUGCCUUUGCCUCUCUCUAUAUCCCUCCUCCCUGUUUUGUUUUGUCUGAGAGAGUCCACAUAUCCAGUGGCGAACCCUUGAGGGACCCUGACUCUUACAAGGUAUGUAUUCAUAUAAAUGAAUUUCACACAGUUUAUUGCCAGCCACGUCUGUAUCUGUAAGGGUAAGAGCAACUGUGCUGUUUGUUACUUUAGUGGCCUAAAGAGUUUCAAUGUAUCUCCUUAGCUGCAAACCACCCACUUAAAAUAAUGAAAGCUUAGCCUAAGUGUUUCCCCGCUGGGGGUGCCACCCUCUUACUUCAGAAGGCCUGGGGUGCCCAGAGCACUGCGCUCUGCCUGCUGGGAUGGGAGGAGUUAAUUAAAUUACCUUAUAUUUAGUGUUAAUUUUGUACCGGGCUUGUCGGGUAACAGACAGCAAGCCCAGGCUUGACUAGGAGUGCCGGCCUGGGCAUGGGCCCCAUCUCUGGGGCAUUUCUAUUGUCAGAUUAAUUAAAUUGACAUCUUGGUUGUGAUUAGUUACAAAUAUGGCUCCAAUAUUUUUUCAACAGGUGUCAAACUAGGGGCUGUGGUCAGAAUCACAAUGCGUAACUGUGUCUAACCAGAGAACAGAAACAGGAGCUGAGGAUGUUCCAGAAGACUGGAAGAUUGGAGGCAUCCUUUGGGGUUAAGAUGCCGAUUUGGCACUCACCAUUGCUGGGUCCAGCUUGCAGCUAGGAUAUCUUUUGUUGAUAGAAGGGAAUGUGGGGGAUUCUUGCUGUGUUUGGAGAGAGCACUUGAUUGCUGAUUAAAAUCUGCAUCACUAAUGCAAACCUGAACCUUUCAGGAAGCAGGCUGUGAGAAGUCCUAAUUAGUGUGAAAUUAUAUUUCCCAGAGAUGCUGCAGUCCCGAUCCACACAGACCUACAGCACUGUAAUUCCCUAGGUAGGGCAAGUGUUCCCGUGGAUCAGACAGUUGUGAUUGCACGGACUUGAACUUGGGCUCAAAUGCAAUUUCCCUACCCUCACUCCCAAACCUCUGAAAACCACUUUCAUAAUUGUCACUCAAGUGAGGGACAUUCACAGUCUCCCACCCACACCCACCUGCACUCCCCCACCCCCAUCCACAUGUUGUAGAACAGGUCAGUUCCUUAUAGGCCUGUGAAUUCAUACACAGACCUUUGCAUGUUAUCCAGGUGAGUGUGUUUUUAACAGAUCAACAACUGUUGUCAGAAUGUAGCCACGGGGGGAGGGGGGUCUAAGGUUAUCAGAGAAUUUCUACCACUCUAGGGGGUCAUUGAACUAACCACACAACAGUGUCCAUCUUAGAGAAAAGGCCAGGAAGUCUCCACCAUUUGGAAACACCACACGAAUUCAUUCCCCUCACAAACUGUUCUUGUGUGAGUUACACAUACCAGCUGCCAGGGAAGAAAGCUGGAAGCUGGAGGAAAGAUCCUUCUUCCUCUGGAUCCUCAAAAGCUCAUGCCAGGUCUCUAAGGAAGUGAAAAUGAAAACACCAUAAGACCAGACAGAAUUAACAUAAAAUGCAAGGUUUUCAACUCUUCUUAUCUCAAAGAUCAAACAAACCAUAGAGUCAUACAUAACCUUAGUGUAGGGAAAUCUUGAAUAUCCUACAGAGAUCCAGGAAACAACUAUAUAGUUGAGAACCUGCGAGUCACACCAGACACUUAGGGGCCAAGUUGCUUUCACCAUCAGCCUGAGAAGUCUUAAACCAUGCAGGUGUCCUGGCUUAGGCCUUGAGUGAACUCUGGAAGCUGCAGUUCCAUAACCACAGCCCACACUGAGCUGCCUUCCUGUCCUGGAUCUCAGCAGCCCUCUGAUAAAGUGUCACAAGUCCAGAACGGUUGGCAACAAACCUUAGCCAGAGAGAUCAUGGUGAGAAAUGGCGUUGUCUCCCCCCCCCCCACACACACACACACACCCUCACACGGACGACUCUGCAUCAGGAAACACCUGGUUCUGCUGUAGCUUUUUAUACCUGCCCUAGGCACUUUGGACACACACAUGUUGGGUGGAGGACAGAAAACCACCUGAAAAUGCGUCGAUUUAUCAUAGCAAGACAAGGGAGGGAAUCAGGACAUGGUCACUAACAUUUGGAAGAGCUAUACCGGGGCCCUGGUUUCCAGAAAUGAAAUGCCAUUGUACACAAAGACUGAAGUGUGACAGGUGGCCCCAUUAGGAAAGAAUUCACAAAGCUUUGUUUCUGAUAAUUACUUGGAGGCUGAAAUGUAAUGAUCCCAUUUAUUCCAUCAGCAAGAGUUGUCACGGUCUCCUCGCAGGAAGAAUGAGCCUCCGCCCUUUGCAGACUCAAUGUGAACUUUUAUCAUUUCCACAUACUGUUUGGUAUAGCUUCCACAUGUUAAUUGUUCAGUAAGUUACUUCCUGAACAAAGAUCCUUCUCCCUCCUGAUCAGCGAAGCAGGUGUCGGGUCUCCGAACACUGUAUGUGCCAAUUGAAGCUGCAGUCUGUUCCUUCAGGAGUGCUGGGCAAAAUAACAAAGAUCAAAUGAAUCUCUGAUGGAAACAGCCACUGCUGAACGCCUCUGUAGAGAAAAAUCUUGAAGCAAUAAUAUAUGAUGCUUUCUGGUUAACAAAUGGUACCCAAGGCUAAUUCCUUUGGUCUUGACAUCCUCUCAUAUGUAACACAAAUACUUUUAUGUAUAUGAUUCACAUGCCCACAUCACAAACGUGAUAUGCAUAUAAAUACACAGGUAAAAUAUUA